Molecule: long non-coding RNA, 4325 nt
Organism: Bombus huntii
Lineage: Eukaryota; Metazoa; Arthropoda; Insecta; Hymenoptera; Apidae
Exons: 3
Source: RefSeq, a predicted model, not a curated record
UAUAAUAUGAAAAUUAGUUCGUCCGUGAGGAAGUACGAGCGUCCCAGCCAGCCAGCGAAUUAUGAGAUUUCAACGACUUUCGAACGAGAAUUCGAGAGUGGCACAGUCUCUAGGGAAACACAAUGUGAGGAACCGCGACAUUUCGAUGGACCUGGCGCGCUUGUUCUACAUCGCGUUAUUAUCGAUUCGGAAGGAUCGUUGUUCGUCGGAAACGUCUGAAUGGAGGUUUCAUCGCUGUGAAGUCGCCGACGAAAAAGGCUGAAAAAGGGAAGACGAGAGACGGUGGCAGAGUGGGGAAAGGUGGGUCGAAGAGAGUCGCGGAAGAAGUGAAAAGCGUGAAAGUGGGUCGCGAAACGAAGCGCGGAAAGAAUUUUCUACGGAAACGUCGGGACCUUGCGCGUAUUUCUUCCCGUGGCAGCCAGAGGGACAGGAGCUUCCGGUUGCCGUGUUUCCGCUGCUUCGUACCGGAGUACAAGUGCGAGGAAAAAAAUAUACAAGAAAGGCCGCAGAGUACUGAAGAGGCAGAAACGUGCGAAAGAGAAGCUUCGAGCGACAAGGUAGCUAAGAGGACGUGCAAAUACAUGCGAGACCGAAAGGCCAACCAAGGUAAAUGCAGCCGUUUGUACGUAGAUGGGGGCUCUUAAAUUCUUCGCGGUAUGAAUUUUUAAUUUUCCUGUACUUUACGACUGCCCAUUAAAACGCAAAAGGAGGAAGGAACGAGUGAGUAGAGGGAGAGAGAGAGAGAAAGAGAGAGAAUGAGUGAAAUAGGCGGGGAAUGGGCGAGAAAGGAAAGUACUAGAAGCAAUGCCCAGCACGGGCCUCGAAGGCGGAAGCGUAGAAAAACGUGGAUGUAUAGAGCCCGCGGGAAUCUCUAGGUGGAGGUUAUAUUUUUCUCGGGGAACGCCUCUGACUAUGUACCACGAUUGCCCUGAGAUAUGCGGUUACGCCAAUUUAUCGGCGUAUAAUAGCUCGCGGCCAGUCCGAGGACGCACUUAAGCAUGAAUGCGAAAUCAAUACGCAGAGUUUUGUUCCUAGGUUUGCGUACCUCUUGCUAGACCGUGUAUAGAACUUUUAUUAUCGGAUUUUAUUCGUAGAUAGUGAAAUGAUAUUUGUCCUACUUUUUCACAAUCGUGUCAUUUUUAUUUUUAGUUUUUACCUUCGGUAAUUCCAUUCUGGUCACGCUAGUGAAAGUAACGCUUGAUCCUUUUAUACAUCUAAUUUUCUUAAACUUAUUUUUUUACUAUUAUAUACGAUAACACGAUAACGAUAGAGAAAAAAUGGAAAGGAAAUUUCGUACAUAAUAUAAUCCUUAAUUAUCACGGAUCUAUUUCCAACUAUGUUUUACAUUAAUACCAACUCUAUCGAGUUAUUAGUUGAAAUACCGCAUCGAGAAAUCUUUUCGAAGGGAACCUCGUCUAUUAUUGCUGUGAAAAUCUCCUGAUCCUUUAUAUGAUGGUGUUCUAAAUACCGAACGAAGCGGCAACGGUGAGUACGUUUUCAUGUACUCUGUGCAGUGCAAAUAAAUCACUCGUUAUCGAGCGUCCUAGGUGGUUAACCCGAAAAGUGUGCGUUCGUCGGGCUGCCAAGUUCCACCGGCUAUUCUAUUUGAGUGGAAAAAAUGCGCACUUUUCAGGAGCACCGACAGUUACAAAAAUCGAAAUCGGAAUUACGACGUUUCGUUAUGUUUCGUCAAUGCUUCUCUUCUUGUACGAAUUUCAAUUUCCCGUGAAAGCGUAAUGAUCUUGACGUACAGGGCGAUAAGAUGAUUUCGAACAUCCCACUGCAGGAAGCUAGGCCGCGUGCUGGUCGCGAGAGACCGCUUGGUAUUAGGUGUAGAAACCGACUGAGUUACGAGGGGUUAUAAAUUCCGAAUAUUGGAGUUCUGCCUUGCGAUCCCGUCCCUCUGGCUCCUGACUACCAGCCUCUACCGUACAAUGGAAGGAAUCUCCUAUCCGCGCAACUUGUCUUGACCUACUAUAAUGUCUGUCCAUACAAAAAUAGAAUGUCCAUUGGAGCGGACCGCAUGAACGCGGGCAAUCCUUACGUCAUUCGUGGUUGUACGCCAAUUGUUGCAUUUUCAAUGGAACAGAGGAAUUUGGGAAGGAAGAGUAAUGAAACUUGAAACCGGAUAUAUGGUCGAUAUUGGACGUGUAAUGCGCUCCGAAAUUCAAUGCGAUUAAUAAUCACUGAUUUAAUUAAUUAGCACAAAUUGCGUUUCAUAUUACGAAACUUUCUUUGGAUUAUUAAUUCGACUGUUUAAUUUUCGUUGGGACAGAUUAUACAGGCCCAUGGAAAUAUUUGAACGCUUAUCGUAGAAAACUUUUAUGCUUAUAUUGUGUGUCUGUCAUAUAAAACUUUGUGAAAAUGGGGCAUGUUUGUCAUGAUUAUCUUGGUUAUUCGAAACCAAUCUCACGAUCUUCAUAGAAGUUGCAGAAUAUUUACUGCAAACCUAUAUUUAGCAAAAAAUUAGUGCACAGUAUGGGUAGUUAUCUUAAGGAUAUGAUUAGUAAUAGUAAAAAUAAUCUCACUAAAUAUUGUGGGUUACUAACAUAACCAAUAAUUAAUUGUUCAAGUAUUUGUUUAUCUUUGCGAAGUGUGUAGCUCGCAAUAAAUAUCAUGUAAUUGCUACACGUAUACGUUUUCAUAUUGGUUUUAAAUAUCAAUGCAAUCAUGAUGGUCGUGUCUCAUUGCACUAACAAUUCGCGUAACGCACAUGAUAUAUUCAUAAGAGAUAUGUACAGCAGUCUUUGUGAAUCGCUUAAAAUGGCACGUAGUACUUCGAUUGACAAUAGAUUUUUAAUGAGCGCGUAAUAUGACAAAGAGAAUCGACUGAUCAUGGAAGCUAAUAAAAUUGAAUUAGCAGAUGAUCGAAAAUACGGUUGAGUGUACUUAUUUGACGUCAGGCUCAGGUCGUCUUUAACGGAAUAGAUUUUUUUCUCAGGAUGGCAAGACAUGACGUCACGGCUGAAACGAAAGGAAGGCAGUGCUGAAAGGAAGUGAACUAUCACGGAAAAUUGUGCAGCAGACCGUUCGGCCGGAAAAUCGACAGUUUCUUUUAUUUGUCAGGUCGCGCUUUCCAGGAUCAAAAGAAUGAAACUUUAAUUAGCAAAAGAGCAGGUACGUGCUGGCUCGGAUAGCUUAACAAGGGCUAGUCCUUCUGUACCUUCUUACGCAUUUUCACAAAGGAAAGCGCCGCUACUUGAUCCGAAAGAACGAGGCACCCGUAUCUCUGUUCAGCCAAUUUGGAACGCAACGUUGGCUGACGAAUAAUAACGCGAUUAUGAUUGACACGUUUUGAAAUGACACUGAAUGUUAUAUUAACCACUUUCGUUAUAAACUAAUUACGAAAUUAUCUAUUUUAACGCGUUGAUCAAUAUUCUAUAUAUUAUUAAUGUUGCAUUAACUAUACGGUAAGUAUUUCAUCAUAUCAAGCAUGCGAUAUUUCUUCUAGUUUAACAUGGAUACAUUUACAAAAUCGAAUUUGGAACUUAACCUAGUGCAAUUAACAUUGAAAUGAAACGUAUUUAAAAAUAACAUCUAAAACUAUACGCUGUUUAAAAUUUAAAUCUUUUAUAAUGAUUUAUUAAAUUAAUAAUGUUAUACUUAUUACAUCGAGACCAAGAAAUUCUUCCGUUUCCAAUAGAAAACACAGAAGAAUUGUUUGCACGAAAGUUCAUCUUAUACCAUUUCCAGGCCAAAGUUACGCCGCGAGGAAACUUUCAUCAGCGAUAAAAGUUUGAGUCUGAUAACAUUACUCAAUGAGACAGGAUGUUCUUUCACUAAAAUGCACGGAGGAGCACACACAUAUUUCAACGACUGAUGCGAACGUCUAGAAAUCAACUUUUAAAGGAGAUCGGCGUACGAAGCACGACGGAAGCAAGUAAGAAAGGGGUUGGGUGAUAGGCAAGAGCGAAGCGGGCCGUGCGCCCAGAGGGCGAGGCUACCACGAGGGGAAAGAGCGUGAGGGAGAGAAACGGGAUGGGAUGAGUAACGAGAUCAGGUACUCGAUAAGUUCUGACAAGCGCAAUUGCACUUUCGAACGGAGCUCGUCUAUGCUUAGACUGAGCAAUUCCGUGAGCCGAUUCUCCUUUUGUUCGUGUAGCUUGCGUAACGACCAAAGUUCUUCCGAUCGUUUUAUUCGGCGCGAUCUUUCGGCGUUAGAGGCGCGAUUCAGGUUUCUCCGAUACCUUCCCUCUGUUAUCAAGUAUCAGAAGUAAUAACGACUCAUUAAACGUCGACAAACGAGCAAAGGAGCGACCAACAAAACCUUGUUAACAAAGUCUUCUGAACUGUUUCGCUUGCUGGAGAAAAUCUGAAAAGAACGU